Molecule: ribosomal RNA, 439 nt
Filed under: uncultured bacterium
Lineage: Bacteria
Description: bacterial SSU rRNA
Rfam family: Bacterial small subunit ribosomal RNA
Source: RNAcentral
AUACGGGAGGCAGCAGGGAGGAAUAUUGGGCAAUGGGCGCAAGCCUGACCCAGCAACGCCGCGUGGAGGACGAAGGCCUUCGGGUCGUAAACUCCUUUUGAGGGAGACGAGCAAGGACGGUAUCCCUCGAAUCAGCCACGGCUAACUACGUGCCAGCAGCCGCGGUAAAACGUAGGUGGCGAGCGUUAUCCGGAUUCAUUGGGCGUAAAGAGCUUGUAGGCGGCUUGGUAAGUUGGACGUGAAAACCCCGGGCUUAACUUGGGGAGGCCGUUCAAUACUGCCGGGCUGGAGGGUGUCAGAGGGCAGUGGAAUUCCUGGUGUAGCAGUGAAAUGCGUAGAUAUCAGGAGGAACAUCCGUGGCGAAGGCGGCUGCCUGGGGCGCACCUGACGCUGAGAAGCGAAAGCUAGGGGAGCAAACGGGAUUAGAUACCCCGGUAGU